GUUGAAGAAUCCCAGGCAUGGAGUGGUGAAAGGAUUUGUCUAAGACCACACAGCUGGUGCUUGUCGUUGGGACUGUGGUGAGCCUCUGCCACCCACCCCCGCAAGGCAAGAAAAUGAUCCCAAAGACCAGGCUCGUGCACUGCUUCGAGAUUCUUGCAUGCAGGGUACCCCUGAUGCUGACCAAGUUGAGGGGCCACUGCCAUUGCCUAAAGGAAGGGCUGCUAGGUCUUCACGCCCUUCUGAGUGGGAGGAACGAGGCAGUGGAGCGUAGCAAGGUCACUUUCUCAGUGGCCGUGUUGUCACAGUUACAUAACUCCCCCCCCAACCCCCCUUGGCUUCCUGCACCCAGAGUCCAAACUCCAGGCCCUCCUCCGUCAGGAGGCCACCUGCCUGGGCUCCGGGAGGCCUGUCCACACAGGCCCGCGGCUGCUUGCCCAUAAUUAGGAGUUACCUGCCCGUCCGCCCGCCCACCAGGACUGGGCAUGUCAGCCAGAGGGACUCUGGCUUCUCCAGCUCCAAAGGCGGAGCACAGGGGCCUCCGUCCUCACCACACCGGCAACGAGGCGCCUCCAUCCUCACCACACCAGCAACGAGGGGUUCUGUGGCUACAAGGCCCCCAGCAAGGCCGGGCGGCCUGCCUGCCUCCAGCUGCCCCGCGUGGGCCAGGCCCGGGAGGAAGGCAGAGCGGUCUGCGCUGUGGCCAUCAGGAGGCAACCCGAGGCCCUAGCUCCAUCCUCGGGGCAGAUGUCUGCAGCGGCCCCGAGUCCCAACGGUACUAAUUAGAAUCUGCUGUAACGCCUUCCUUUCCCAGAGUCGUCCUUUAAAUAUCUUUGGAACUGGUUUCAGGAGGCAGACUUGUGAAACAGACACGUAGGAAGGGCUGGCACCUUCCCCUGAAGCUGCUCAUUAAAACAAACAAGCAAAAAUGUGUUUUGCCAAAUAUGAAAGGAGCUCCAGCCUUGUGUUAAAACCUGACCUUUGAAAAUGGGUUGUUUCUCCCAAAUCAGGGCCCCGUGGAGGGGCACUCGGGGGCUCCUGGGGUGAAGGACGGCCGCUUGAGCUGCUGGAUGGGCCUAAUCCUGCCCCCCUGUAAAUUCAAGGCAGGGACGGGUCUUAAACUGACAUAUGCCCGCAGGGCCAGGCAUGCAGCAAGCGCACCCUCGAAUGUGUGGAUGGAUGGAAAGGCCCUGAGUUCUGGCUCAGGGCUUCCCAGCUGCCCUGUGCUAACCUUAACAAGCCCCUUCCCAUUUCUCCUAAGUAUCUCCCAUCUUAAUAAAUAGCAAUAGCUACCAUGUACUGUGGGCCCCGAGGUACGAUAGGCCCUCUAGUGGCAUCCUCUCAUUUAAUCACUCAACUGCCCUAUGAGAGAGGGGGUACUGCUAUACCCAUUUUAAAGCAGAGUAAACUGAGGGUAGGAGAAGGGAGCAGAGGUUGCAAACUGGUGGCCCUACAGCCAAAUAUGGUUUGCAAACAUGUUUUCUUUUCCUCGCACUCUAUUUAAAAAUAUUUAAAAAACGAGCUGCCAACACUUUAAAGUGAGGAUAAUUUACACCAAAAAAAUCCAGAUAGCUUUAUUUCAGAAAAAUCAGGAGGUCUGGUAAUUGCGAACCCUCAUUCCAUCGCACAUGGUAACAGUGUGCCCCCCACCCUGUCAUGCCCACUGUCCCCCUGUCUCCCCCUGCCUCCCUCGCUCAGGUAAGUGACCCGCCUGGGCCCUCCAGGCACGGAGUUCACCCCACUGUCCUCAGGCCACAGGUAGCUCCAGGCAGAGUCAGUGCAGUCCAGGGUCCAUCUGUCUAUCUGUUUCUCUUGCACAUCUCACUAGUGCCCCACUCCUGGGAGAUGCCAAUGUAUUAGAUCAGAGGAGCACUGGACAGGGAGUCAGGAGAUGGGGGUGUUUGUUCUACCCCUGGAACAGCCUCCAGCACCAACAACCUCAUUGUUCAGAGGAGAGAGUCCGUCAGGGACGGCCCAGACUCCGCACUCUGAGAUGCAGGGCCUGAGCUGGGAGGCGGAGCCAGCGUGUCCCUGCCCAGGUCAGUGUGAGGACAAGGAUGCCCGCCAGGCACUGGGCAAGCCAGUUGGCGCUUGGCACUGCCAAGGGGGAAUGCUCAUCCAAGUUCCAGGAGCAGAAACCAUGCUUUCCGCGCCCUUUCUCUUUCUUCAUCCUGCACACGUCUGACGAAGGAAGAGACUGAGGCCCAGAGAGGGGGAGCGAUUGCCCGAGGUCACACAGGAAACUGAUGCCCGUGUUGGCACAAGCUGGGGCUUCUUCAGUCCUUCCUGGGCACUUCCCAGAUUCUCUCUCCCUUAGGAAUUCAGAGCCCUCCGGCUUCUUGGAAUUGGGCCCCAGACGGGGGACCGAGUGGCCCACAUGGGCAGGCGCUGUCGGGCUCAGAGGCCUCGCCCAGGGCUCGUCAUGGUUUCUAAGGCGCAAACCAUUGCAAAGAGAAUCCUCAUUCUGCGGGCUCCGGGACGGUGAGCCGCCCGCCUCUAGGGUGGAAGUGGGUGUACAGGAAAGGUUGCAAUGCUGGCAGACGGCAGCCCACGUUUGGCUCACAGGCAUAUUUUGUUUUUCCCACAGUGUUUUUAAAAAUUCACACGAGUUGCCAACAUUUAAGAAUCAGGGGAUUUCACACAAAAGACGGGAUUUCUGGCUCCUUGUGAACACUUUCAAGAUCUGGCAAAAGCUGGACCACAUUUUCCCCCAGCAAUGCCGGCAGGAGCGAGGCCCGCCCCCUCUCAUCCACCAGCCUCGGCACCCUGCCUGGCCUGUGUGAGCUC
This is a long non-coding RNA of Myotis davidii, 2784 nucleotides long. RefSeq lists it as uncharacterized. The transcript is spliced from 3 exons. The record is from RefSeq and is a predicted model, not a curated record. Lineage: Eukaryota; Metazoa; Chordata; Mammalia; Chiroptera; Vespertilionidae.